RNAcentral lists this ribosomal RNA (961 nucleotides) under human oral metagenome. RNAcentral describes it as "bacterial SSU rRNA". It matches the Rfam family "Bacterial small subunit ribosomal RNA", at positions 8 to 955 of the family's 1533-position model. The record is from RNAcentral.
AGAGUUUGAUCCUGGCUCAGAACGAACGCUGGCGGCGCGUCUUAAGCAUGCAAGUCGAACGGCAAGAGAGGAGCUUGCUUCUCUCCUAGAGUGGCGGACUGGUGAGGAACACGUGGGUAAUCUACCCUUAAGAUGGGGAUAGCUGCUAGAAAUAGCAGGUAAUACCGAAUACACUCGGCAUAUCACAAGAGAUGUUGAGGAAAGGAAGCUACGGCUUCGCUUGAGGAUGAGCUUGCGUCCCAUUAGCUAGUUGGUGAGGUAAAGGCCCACCAAGGCGACGAUGGGUAUCCGGCCUGAGAGGGUGAACGGACACAUUGGGACUGAGAUACGGCCCAAACUCCUACGGGAGGCAGCAGCUAAGAAUAUUCCGCAAUGGACGGAAGUCUGACGGAGCGACGCCGCGUGGAUGAAGAAGGCUGAAAAGUUGUAAAAUCCUUUUGUUGAUGAAGAAUAAGGGUGAGAGGGAAUGCUCAUCUGAUGACGGUAAUCGACGAAUAAGCCCCGGCUAAUUACGUGCCAGCAGCCGCGGUAACACGUAAGGGGCGAGCGUUGUUCGGAAUUAUUGGGCGUAAAGGGCAUGUAGGCGGCUAUGUAAGCCUGAUGUGAAAUCCUGGGGCUUAACCCUAGAAUAGCAUUGGGUACUGUAUAGCUUGAAUUACGGAAGGGAAACUGGAAUUCCAAGUGUAGGGGUGGAAUCUGUAGAUAUUUGGAAGAACACCGGUGGCGAAGGCGGGUUUCUGGCCGAUAAUUGACGCUGAGAUGCGAAAGUGUGGGGAUCGAACAGGAUUAGAUACCCUGGUAGUCCACACUGUAAACGAUGUACACUAGGUGUUGGGGCAAGAGCUUCAGUGCCAAAGCAAACGCGAUAAGUGUACCGCCUGGGGAGUAUGCCCGCAAGGGUGAAACUCAAAGGAAUUGACGGGGGCCCGCACAAGCGGUGGAGCAUGUGGUUUAAUUCGAU